RNAcentral lists this ribosomal RNA (479 nucleotides) under marine bacterium B250-17bO. RNAcentral's name for it is "SSU rRNA". It matches the Rfam family "Bacterial small subunit ribosomal RNA", at positions 8 to 500 of the family's 1533-position model. The record is from RNAcentral.
AGAGUUUGAUCAUGGCUCAGGACGAACGCUGGCGGCGUGCUUAACACAUGCAAGUCGAACGGAAAGGCCCAGCUUGCUGGGUACUCGAGUGGCGAACGGGUGAGUAACACGUGGGUGAUCUGCCCUGAACUUUGGGAUAAGCCUGGGAAACUGGGUCUAAUACCGGAUAUGACCUUGGAGUGCAUGCUCUGGGGUGGAAAGCUUUUGCGGUUCAGGAUGGGCCCGCGGCCUAUCAGCUUGUUGGUGGGGUAAUGGCCUACCAAGGCGACGACGGGUAGCCGACCUGAGAGGGUGAUCGGCCACACUGGGACUGAGACACGGCCCAGACUCCUACGGGAGGCAGCAGUGGGGAAUAUUGCACAAUGGGCGCAAGCCUGAUGCAGCGACGCCGCGUGAGGGAUGACGGCCUUCGGGUUGUAAACUUCUUUCACCAGGGACGAAGCGCAAGUGACGGUACCUGGAGAAGAAGCACCGGCCAA